GUUUGUCCUAAUGACAAAUCCACAUAUUGGAAACACUGGUGUAAAUUUUGACGAUGAAGAAUCAAACCAGUGCUUUCUUGCUGGUCUGGUUAUAAGGAGCUUAAGCAUCAGUACUUCAAAUUGGAGAUGCACUGAAGCACUUGGUGAUUAUCUAGCAGCAAGGAAUAUCAUGGGAAUAUAUGAUGUUGACACCCGUGCAAUCACUCGGAGAUUGAGGCAAGAUGGAAGCCUUAUUGGUGUACUGAGCACAGAAGAAUCCAAGACAGAUGAAGAACUUCUAGAGAUGUCUCGCUCAUGGGAUAUUGUUGGUGUUGAUUUAAUAAGUGGCGUCUCAUGCACUGCCCCUUAUGAAUGGGUUGAUAAAACAAAACCAGAGUGGGAUUUUAACACCAAUGGGGGAGGAGAGGUCUACCGUGUUGUUGCAUAUGAUUUUGGGAUCAAGCACAAUAUACUGAGGCGCUUAGCAUCUCAUGGCUGUAAAAUCACUGUGGUCCCUUCGAAGUGGCCUGCAUUAGAAACUCUGAAGAUGAAGC
This 533-nucleotide unclassified non-coding RNA is filed under the name Hevea brasiliensis (rubber tree). The record is from RNAcentral. Lineage: Eukaryota; Viridiplantae; Streptophyta; Magnoliopsida; Malpighiales; Euphorbiaceae.